UGAAAACCAUUUUUCUGGUGAGAUUCCUGUUGAAUUUGGUGAUUUCAAGUUUACAGAACUGUCAUUGUACAGAAACAUGUUUUCUGGUUCUCUUCCUCAAAAUAUAGGAUCAUGGGCAGAACUUCAGUACAUUGAUGUUUCUGAGAAUAUGUUUACUGGUUCGAUACCGCCUGAUAUGUGCAAGAAAGGGAGUAUGACUGAUCUUUUGCUUCUCCAGAACAACUUCACUGGUGGGAUACCUUCGAACUAUGCUAAUUGUUUGUCGUUGCAGCGUUUAAGGGUUAGCAACAAUUCACUUUCAGGAGUAGUCCCUAGUGGAAUUUGGAGUUUGCCAGAUUUGGAAAUCAUUGAUCUCACAUUGAAUCUAUUUGAAGGCCCAGUGACAUCAAAUAUCGGUGAGGCAAAGUCUUUAGCACAGUUGUUUCUAGCCUACAACCAGUUCAAUGGUCAAUUACCACAGACAAUAUCAGAAGUUUCUUCAUUAGUAGCCAUUAAUCUGAGCGCGAAUCAGUUCUCUGGUGAUAUUCCAG
Molecule: unclassified non-coding RNA, 530 nt
Filed under: Hevea brasiliensis (rubber tree)
Lineage: Eukaryota; Viridiplantae; Streptophyta; Magnoliopsida; Malpighiales; Euphorbiaceae
Source: RNAcentral